CACCUUCUACAAGGUUAAAACUUCUCAGCAACACUUGAAGGCUCUCUCUUGGGAUGAACAGAAUAUUCACCUGUGUUUGGAGCUGCUGCUGUAACAUAUUUGUCACUGUCUAUUGCCAAGGCAACAGAAUAUGCAUGUCUGAAGAAAUAAGAAGACAAGGCAUCUGUGCUGCAGACAACCAGCCAAAAUGAUGACGUUUUUAGCCACAGGAAGAGGAGGAUCUGAUGCGCUACGUUUAUAAUCAGGAGUUCAGCGUUAAAAUCCUACUUCAGACAAAACUGGACAGCAUGUUCUGGGUUUGUGCCCAUUGCCUCUCGUCCUGUCACUGGGCACCACUGAGGAGAGUCUGCCUCCAUCGUCCUUACACCCUGCCGUCAGUUAACCUGCUUCAGGGAGGGUGAAGGCUGAGGAAGACAAGGAAAAUACAGGCAAUCACUGGUGGAUCUACCCCUCAGCCAGAGGAUUCCCCUAAACUCACAAGAUUGUAGCAGAGUUUCAAAGGAUAUGCCAGUCUGCUGGAUGGCUGGUAGCGAAUACUGCAGAAGCUUCGCCACGCAGACCUCCUUCUUCCUCCCUCAGGCUGCCGUGGUCUGAAUAUAUCACAAUGUCACAGGUGAAUUAAAAGGAGCGUUCUCUCCAACUUUUUUAUGCAACAUAUGCCAUUCCAAUAGAAAAGUGGAAAACCGUUAGUUUAUAUCCUCUACUAUCUAGGGCAAGCAGGUGUAUGAAUUAUAUUUUCCAAACGUAAGAACUCAAAAUCAGAUUUUCUCUUCAACACUGAAAAACUAUAUAUUGUAAAGCAUCUAUUAGUUUACCAACAGCGGUGUCCUCUGCUGCAGAGAAAAAGUGUGCAUGUUGUACAUCUUUCAAUGCCAUCUACUGUAACCACACUGAAAAGAAAAUACUGCACGUGAAGUUUUCUGCCUUAUAGCAACAAUGUGCUGCUUAUAAUCCUCUUAUUGACUAAAGCAGAUGGAAUCAUUUUCAGUGUCUCUAUCCAAAAAGCAUAAAAGAUUUAAGUCUAAAAGCUGAACAUCCAAACAUAAAUGAUAGUCAGUUGAGAAAAAGAAGUCAACUCAAAUUGGCUUUAGAAUUUCCUGUGCAGCCUUAAUGGAGUGCCUGACAAGGCCUUGUACUCAUCAACCGAUUUAUGCAUAGGAUCACACUCAUUUCCAUUAAUCAUAAAUAAAUAUGUAGUGUAUGGUGUCCCUGUGUGCACAGAUCUAUACGGAAAUGGACUUGGGAUCUUUCGCUCUCAAAGAAUGACAAGAAAUGGCCUAGAAGAAAGACUGACUGCCGCUAUA
Long non-coding RNA from Gymnogyps californianus (California condor), 1304 nucleotides. RefSeq lists it as uncharacterized. The record is from RefSeq and is a predicted model, not a curated record. Lineage: Eukaryota; Metazoa; Chordata; Aves; Accipitriformes; Cathartidae. The transcript has 4 exons.